This 465-nucleotide ribosomal RNA is filed under the name Vreelandella stevensii. Its description in RNAcentral is "partial 16S ribosomal RNA". It matches the Rfam family "Bacterial small subunit ribosomal RNA", at positions 338 to 795 of the family's 1533-position model. Lineage: Bacteria; Pseudomonadati; Pseudomonadota; Gammaproteobacteria; Oceanospirillales; Halomonadaceae. The record is from RNAcentral.
CCUACGUGCAGCUGCAGUGGGGAAUAUUGGACAAUGGGCGAAAGCCUGAUCCAGCCAUGCCGCGUGUGUGAAGAAGGCCUUCGGGUUGUAAAGCACUUUCAGUGGGGAAGAAAGCCUUGGGGCUAAUACCCUCGAGGAAGGACAUCACCCACAGAAGAAGCACCGGCUAACUCCGUGCCAGCAGCCGCGGUAAUACGGAGGGUGCGAGCGUUAAUCGGAAUUACUGGGCGUAAAGCGCGCGUAGGCGGUCUGAUAAGCCGGUUGUGAAAGCCCCGGGCUCAACCUGGGAACGGCAUCCGGAACUGUCAGGCUAGAGUGCAGGAGAGGAAGGUAGAAUUCCCGGUGUAGCGGUGAAAUGCGUAGAGAUCGGGAGGAAUACCAGUGGCGAAGGCGGCCUUCUGGACUGACACUGACGCUGAGGUGCGAAAGCGUGGGUAGCAAACAGGAUUAGAUACCCCAGUAGUC